Molecule: long non-coding RNA, 372 nt
Organism: Rhipicephalus microplus (southern cattle tick)
Lineage: Eukaryota; Metazoa; Arthropoda; Arachnida; Ixodida; Ixodidae
Source: RefSeq, a predicted model, not a curated record
UAAGCUCUGAAGCUGCCGUCUGCGAACAUCGCUGGAGUGAAUCUUUCCAUCGAAAGUCUUUAGCUACCAUGAAGGUCACGAUUUUCCUGUUUGUCUUCGCCUUGGCGAUUGGUGUUGCCUUGGCUGGCGGCUACCAUGGUGGCUACGGUGGUGGUCACAGAGGAUAUGGAGGUGGUCACAAGGGAGGCUAUCACAUGGGCCAUGGUGGAUAUGGCGGAAAGUCUCACGGCUACGGACACAGAUACGGAGGAUACGGUGGUGGCAAGCAUCAUGGAUGAAGAGGCUGCUGCGAGCUCUUGAGGAAUUCGAAAGCCUUGUCAUGUGAUUGUGUGCUAUAUGCUUCAAUAAAGUGUUCUGUUGCAAUACAUGAAA